CCGUAUACGCCCUACGGGGGAAAAAUUUAUUGCUAUUAGAUGAGCCUAUAUUAGAUUAGUUAGUUGGUGAGGUAAAGGCUUACCAAGACAAUGAUCUAUAGCUGAUCUGAGAGGAUGAUCAGCCACACUGGAACUGAGAUACGGUCCAGACUCCUACGGGAGGCAGCAGUGGGGAAUAUUGGACAAUGGGCGAAAGCCUGAUCCAGCCAUGCCGCAUGAGUGAAGAAGGCCUUCGGGUUGUAAAGCUCUUUUAGUGAGGAAGAUAAUGACGGUACUCACAGAAGAAGUCCUGGCUAACUCCGUGCCAGCAGCCGCGGUAAUACGGAGAGGGCUAGCGUUAUUCGGAAUCAUUGGGCGUAAAGGGCGCGUAGGCGGGUUGGUAAGUUAAAAGUGAAAUCCCAAGGCUCAACCUUGGAACUGCUUUUAAAACUGCUAGUCUAGAGAUUGAAAGAGGAUAGAGGAAUUCCUAGUGUAGAGAUGAAAUUCGUAAAUAUUAGGAGGAACGCCAGUGGCGAANGCGUCUAUCUGGUUCAAAUCUGACGCUGAGGCGCGAAGGCGUGGGGAGCAAACAGGAUUAGAUACCCUGGUAGUCCACGCUGUAAACGAUGAAUGUUAAAUAUGGGAAGUUUACUUUCUGUAUUAUAGCUAACGCGUUAAACAUUCCGCCUGGGGACUACNGUCGCAAGAUNAAA
Molecule: ribosomal RNA, 692 nt
Filed under: uncultured Wolbachia sp.
Lineage: Bacteria; Pseudomonadati; Pseudomonadota; Alphaproteobacteria; Rickettsiales; Anaplasmataceae
Description: bacterial SSU rRNA
Rfam family: Bacterial small subunit ribosomal RNA
Source: RNAcentral